Molecule: ribosomal RNA, 497 nt
Filed under: uncultured bacterium
Lineage: Bacteria
Description: partial 16S ribosomal RNA
Rfam family: Bacterial small subunit ribosomal RNA
Source: RNAcentral
GAUGAACGCUGGCGGCGUGCCUAAUACAUGCAAGUCGAGCGAACAGACGAGGAGCUUGCUCCUCUGACGUUAGCGGCGGACGGGUGAGUAACACGUGGAUAACCUACCUAUAAGACUGGGAUAACUUCGGGAAACUGGAGUUAAUACUGGAUAAUAUAUUGAACCGCAUGGUUCAAUAGUUAAAUACGGUUUUGCUGUCACUUAUAGAUGGAUCCGCGCCGCAUUAGUUAGUUGGUAAGGUAACGGCUUACCAAGGCAACGAUGCGUAGCCGACCUGAGAGGGUGAUCGGCCACACUGGAGCUGAACCACGAUCCAGACUCCGACGGGAGGCAGCAGUAGGGAAUCUACCGCAAUGGGCGAAAGCCUGACGGAGCAGCGCCGCGUGAGUGAUGAAGGUCUUCGGAUCGUAAAACUCUGUUAUUAGGGAAGAACAAAUGUGUAAGUAACUAUGCUCGUCUUGACGGUACCUAAUCAGAGAGCCACGGCUAACUACGUG